GAUCGAGAAUCAGCUAUUGUGGACUUUAACAGCUAUAAUUCUGACUGCUUUAUCUUCUUGCUUAGCAUUCGUGCAGCUGGAAGGGGUCUUAAUCUUCAAUCUGCUGACACAGUUAUCAUAUAUGAUCUGCUGACACAGUUGUAAUAUAUGAUCCUGAUCCAAACCCUAAAAAUGAGGAACAGGCAGUGGCUAGAGCCCACCGAAUUGGGCAGACAAGAGAGGUCAAAGUCAUUUAUAUGGAAGCUGUUGUUGACAAAAUUUCUAGCCAUCAGAAAGAGGAUGAAUU
Molecule: unclassified non-coding RNA, 286 nt
Filed under: Hevea brasiliensis (rubber tree)
Lineage: Eukaryota; Viridiplantae; Streptophyta; Magnoliopsida; Malpighiales; Euphorbiaceae
Source: RNAcentral